Molecule: ribosomal RNA, 470 nt
Filed under: uncultured bacterium
Lineage: Bacteria
Description: bacterial SSU rRNA
Rfam family: Bacterial small subunit ribosomal RNA
Source: RNAcentral
GAUGAACGCUAGCGGCAGGCUUAACACAUGCAAGUCGAGGGGCAACACGGGUAGCAAUACCUGGUGGCGACCGGCGCAAGGGUGCGUAACGCGUGAGCAACAUGCCCUAUACAGGGGGAUAAUCCAGGGAAACUUGGUCUAAUAUCCCAUAGUAUUUAGAGGUGGCAUCACCACUAAAUUAAAGCUUCGGUGGUAUAGGAUUGGCUCGCGUGACAUUAGCUGGAUGGUGGGGUAACGGCUCACCAUGGCGAUGAUGUCUAGGGGUUCUGAGAGGAAGACCCCCCACACUGGGACUGAGACACGGCCCAGACUCCUACGGGAGGCAGCAGUGAGGAAUAUUGGACAAUGGAUGGAAAUCUGAUCCAGCCAUGCCGCGUGCAGGAAGACGGCCCUAAUGGGUUGUAAACUGCUUUUAAUGGGAGCAGUGCUUUUCUAUGUGAACGCAUGGGGAAGAGAUAUUAGCAUAGAAA